RNAcentral lists this long non-coding RNA (256 nucleotides) under Sorghum bicolor (sorghum). RNAcentral describes it as "long non-coding RNA (SBIC_LNC013514)". Lineage: Eukaryota; Viridiplantae; Streptophyta; Magnoliopsida; Poales; Poaceae. The record is from RNAcentral.
GCAUUGAGGGCGCAGGAGGGUUGUGUGGGAGGGGUAGGCAAUAUGCGAGACGGGCUUGUGUGCGGAGGGGUAGGUGGGCGCUGCUUUUUUCCGUAUGGGAGGGUGGCCAGGGAGUGUUGUGGUGUGAUGGUGCGUGGGAGGGGCUUAUGGCGGUGCUAUAGGGUGGUGUGAGGUGGGUGUAGGUUAGGUUUUGGGUGUUCUUUUUGAGCUAAAAUUAGCCGCUGGCUAGGGUUCUCACUAAUGAUGUGCUUGAGGG